GUGGACUCGCUUUCUGACCGGCGCUGCCCCCCCCUUCUCCUCCACCAACCUUCUCCCCCCCCCCACACACCCCGGGGUGUGCACCCCCCCCUUUGCCAUCCUGACCCCCAACCCGGGGGCUGGAUGUGGGGUGGGUGUGAGGAGGAUGAUGAUGAGGAGGAGGAGGAUGAUGGGGAUGGGGAAUGGGGGGGGGGGCGCGCAGGCACUUCUGCAGGCGCAGCCCUUUUCGCAUCAAGAGAUUGGCUAUAAGGAGAAGGCUGACGGCUGCAGCAUGAAGCGCAUUAUUACCUUGUGAUUCCAUGACCCUCCUCUAUGCAUCCCUAACUCUCGAAAGCUGAUUCAGCUUUCAGCUAGUGCUCUGGUGAGUCCUCUGCUGCAACAGAAGCUCCUAACUGAUUGCAAACAGCCCUACUCUGAACAAGCAGCUUUCUAAAUGAACCCACAGACAAGCUCUUGACAAGAGGGGAAAGGAAAGGUGGAUGGCUCAGGAGGUUGGAGUUCGCAGUCUUUUAUGUUUGACCUUUGGGCCAGUGUUCAGAUUUGCUUGUUGGGAAAAGCGCAUUCAGGAUAUAUUUUCUUCAGGGAUUUAUGCUACCCUUUUGCUUGUAAUUAUUCUCACUCGAUGUCUUCCAUAAAUUAAAGAUGCUUCUAUUAGUGAGCUCCAGUCCUCUCAAUUAUCUUGCUUAUUUGUGGCUGUGAGCUAACACCACGCCACGAUUGCCAUCCAUGCAAAGCUCCUGGUCGGUGGCUACAGGCAGAGAAAUACAUGGGUAAUACAAAUGUCUGAGAAAUCCCAGGAAAAAAUGAAAACUCCAGUAAAGGUAAAUGUCAGACUAUUUAAGGACAAUGUUAACUAUUGAUUUUUUGGAGGAGACUACCUCUUCAAAGAAUGGCAAGCAUGCCUGCAGAUACAGACCAGGCAACCUAGAUGGAUAGCAGAGAGAGGGAGGCGAGCGAUCUAGGAAGACAGAGAUUUUCUGGGAGAGCAAAAUGAACCCUUUAUGACGCCUUUGGGAUUAAGUUCUUUUGCAGUGUCCACCCUUCAACCCAUUUAAACACCAUGCCUUUUCCAAGAAAUGAAGGGCAAAGAAGCAGUGAUAAGCAAUACAGAGAUAAGCAGCAAAGUACUCGUUUCACCGGUGUUUCCCUGUGAAAAAUGAACCCUCAAGCACACCCCGUGAUUUGUUGUUGAAGUGGUAAAGCUUACCCAAGUUCCUGAUUCUGCUUCCAGCAGAGAUGUUCAUUGCUCAUUCUCACACCAUGGAGCAACUUGGAUGCAUUAUGCGGUGCUUUCUCUUCCCACCAGCACCUGCCUGCACGCGUGGUGAGACCACCAUCCAAUAUAUCUUGUUAAAAAAUGCAUAUAUAUGUACAUAUGCAUUAUAUAUGCGUGUCUAUAUGUGUAUAUAUAUACUUACCUUAUGGCCCAUGCUGUGAUAUCCCUGCUAACGCACCUGGAAGCAGAUAUUCCUGGCCUCAGAUGUGUGCAUCUGCAGGGAAUUGUGCCUUUCAAGCUGUAGCGCAGAGAUGAUGCUGUACAUGGUGCUUGAGGAAAACGGCAUGAUAAGAAUUUAGUUAGGGGAUUUAAAGGUCUUCCAGGCCUGCAUUUUCAAAAAGGGAAACUUCUUACCUCGAUGGGUGUUUUGGAGCUGGAGGAAUGAAGGUUCUAAUCCAGUGAAGUGUAGUGUCAGAGAGGGUAAAUUAAUUUUGCAGCUGGAUACAACGCCUUUUUUAAAGGCUAAUUUGGGUCUUAGAAGUUAUUACACGUAUCUACUCAGCAAAGGGAAUGGGUGACACUGACGGGGUUACUACUGACUUUGGCAGGUUUUAAAGUGGGUAUGUGAGGGGAACACACCCUCUCAGUGCCCUGUGUUUCCCCCCUUACAAGUCUCUUGGGGGCUUCAGUUUGAUGAUCCCUGUAGGGCUUAUAACCACAGCUCGCCUUCUUUGGCAGCCAGCUCCAGCUGCAGAAUACCCCAGUUUGUGGUAGAUCCUAAACACAGCACAAUACGGUAUUGCUGCCUGGGGUAACUUUUGGUUUCCAUGUAUUAUUUCAAUAGGCAGGUCUUCAGACAGUGUUAAAUGACAGAUGAUGCAAUUUUUGAAUGUGGUGUUCAUCUGAAUUUUAUUUUCUGAUGUUUUGACUCAUUGACUUGAUGUCUCUCUAUUAUGCACACACCUCUGGAGAUGUUGCUGGCAACGGUUAUGCAUAGCAUUGAGUUAGUGAAUAAAACCACUCCAGGAACUGCUUUACAGAUCACAGUAUCGUUUUCUCUGUAAUUGUCCCACAAUUGGUGGAAGUUAUAUGGAGAGAGUGGUGUGCUCUGACAGGCUGCGUAUUUUUGCAGGGUGCAUCAAAUCUCACUUUGGCUUCUGAGACUUAUUUCUGAUGGUUCUUGGGGAUUUAACUUUAAGACCAACGUAUUUUAGUAUCCCUAUAUGCUCCACUGUUCAUGUCAUCCAGCAGCAACUGAGGAUGAGCUGUCUCCUUAAUAUGGAUGAGGUACCAAUUUAUCUAAGUUAUCACCUCCCAAUCUCUCGUUCAUCUCCGCUGUUAACUGCUGUGUUUCUGACAUCCAUACCUAAACUAUCAGCAACUUCUCCUUCAGUUGAAACCAUAAGUAAUUUUUGGCUGGAACUUCUUGUUAUGUAUAUAAAGGCUUCUUCUCCCAGCUGGAAUUCAACCAUCAGAUGACUGAAUCAGGCUCUGGACACUGCAUUUUAAACCCACAACAUUGCAUAGAUCCACACAGCAUACUAUAUCAAAAGUCUUUCUACCAUAUGAAAAUAUAUGACCAAAUUAACAUGUCCCAGGCUUACUUUGAACAAUGCUGCAGCCCCAGUUGUGUACAGCUCAGGCAUUUGACUGCAAAGUCAGCAAUAACUUCCCCCUUCCUGACACAUUCCCAAACCGGCGAAACUUAGCCGUACUCCUGGUAUUCUCCCUAUAGAAGGUCCCAGUGGUAUUAUGUAUCAAAUAAAGGUCUCAUUACUUUGUUUCUGGUUCCUUCAUGCCAUUGCUCUCAUUAAUCAUUCUGUUCUUCAAGCCGGUGCUACAGCCCAUUAGAACCAUCUCAUUCCCCAUCCCUAAAUUAGAGCUUCCAUCCCCUGCAGUUCCUUGCCCCUCUCUGCUGCACAUGUCACAGGGAGCACUGACCCACUGGGACCAC
This is a long non-coding RNA of Pezoporus occidentalis (night parrot), 3170 nucleotides long. RefSeq lists it as uncharacterized. Lineage: Eukaryota; Metazoa; Chordata; Aves; Psittaciformes; Psittacidae. The record is from RefSeq and is a predicted model, not a curated record. The transcript has 3 exons.